Ooceraea biroi (clonal raider ant) is the source of this 12448-nucleotide long non-coding RNA. RefSeq lists it as uncharacterized. The record is from RefSeq and is a predicted model, not a curated record. Lineage: Eukaryota; Metazoa; Arthropoda; Insecta; Hymenoptera; Formicidae.
GCGAACAAUAUGACAAUGGCUGCGUUCAGAAAACAAAGGAGAUCAGUGAGCCUUCAUCAUGAUUGGUUUCUGCACAGAUCCAGCGAAGAUCUAAAGGCAAGAACCAAUUAUAUUAAAGAAUCACUGAGCGCUCACUGAUCUGCUUUGUCUUCUGAACGCAGCCGUUCUCUAGUAGAAAUCAUAGAUCUCACAGAAAGAUCUUUCCUUUUGCGAUUAGUUAAAAUUAAUCGUGUUGCCUAGACGAAGCUAGGUAGGAACAGGGAAAAUGCUAAGUCAUGAUUACUUUUGCUAAGUGCAAUGAUCCUGGUCUCCAAAUUUGAAUCUUGACAUCUGCCAAAAAGGUCCUCCCCCGUGCAAUUUUAUUUGACAUCUCUGCGCUACAUUCUUGUUGCUGAAAACGAACAUUGUUUAACAGCCGUAAAUAUGCAUGGAAUUUUAAUGAGCCGACAACUGGCGGCUUACUCUCAUUCGUCUUAUACGUAAUUCGCGCGACGUCAGAUGCGUGAACGAGCCGAGUCCAAGUACAAUGGAGCGCGAUAAUUAUAAACGAGCAUUUAAAUGCAUCGCGUUUGAUAAGCGCUGCGCUGCUGCGGCGACAAAACCGCUCGCGUUUUCAAAAUCCCUGUAUUCCUGUAUCGUUCGGCACAGCCGUUGCGCGCUGAUAAUAAGAUCGCACGCACUACCGUCGAACUCCAUCGUAAGAGUACCUCUCGCUAAUCCCCCGGAAUCCGCUGAAUCCGAGUAAACCCGAGUGACUUUCGCGUCGAUCUCGACAAAGCGAGAGGAGCGGCGCGAUUAUUUCGACGAUCUAAUUGCCGAGAAAACAAGAGCAAGUCAUAUCUUCGUGAGAUUUUCCAAGCUUCAUGAUAAUACGCGCGUUGCGUCGUGUUCAAGUGGCGCGUCGCGAUGAUAAGAACUCGCAAGGCGACGGCUUCGUUCCGAGUCCGACGACGCGGGCUUCAUAACAGUAAGGAGAACAUCUCGGCGACGUUGAGGAUCUCGCGGAGUUGCAAGAGUCGAUUGCUGAGGAACUACGAGAUCGUGUUGCGCUGGCUGAGAAGCAGAAGGUCGGCGAUAUGCGAUGAGCGGGUACCGUGCGCGUAUCAGGAGGAGGAAGAGGCGCAUUUGCGAAUGCUCGAGAGCCCGGAGCGGUGAGUGCAUCGUGAUGCGCUUCGAGUUUUUUGUGUCACACAUUGCGAGGUGUCACGCAACUCUUACUUGACGGAUAAUCAUAAGUUUAUAAAUUUACAACGAGAUUUUUUUUGUAACAGGCAUUUAAGCACUUAAGAAACAUCUAGUCCACGAGAUAAGUUUGGAAAUCGAUUGAAUUAUAUCACAGUACCGAUAAAUGGGAUUACCGAUCAUUGAAAUGACGCAGUAUAUUCUUUUGAUAUAUUUUUCUGGUUGUCACAUUUAUAUUAUCUUAUCGUUUUUCUCUAUGCAAGCUUCAUAACAUAUGGAAUUAUGAAAGUAACGUGAAAGUGAGGCAAUAUGUAGAUUUUUAAACUGCUCUUUCGGUAUCUGUAUCUUUCAUAUACUUAUAAGAUUUAUGGAUAAUUUACAUAGUGUUUUGAAAACAUAUUUUGUACGCAUAACAUACAAAAUGCGCGAUUAAGAUUUGUAUAAUUCUUGCAUCUGUCAGAAAGAUUUAGUUUCGCAAGAAGUUUAUCAGCUUACACAACUGUUAGUAGUUGAUCUAUUUGUAUCACUAAUGAUAGAUAUUAUCUCACGCAGCGCUCAGAUAUUUUUUUUGAACGAGAUUAAUUCCACGUGUUUUCUGCUUAAAAAGCAACUAAUUAAAGCAAAGUAAAGCAUUAAAUAUUAAUAUACGUAUUGAUUCUCUGAAAUCUGAUCUGAUCUGAUCUGUUGAAAAUUUAUGAGAGAGAUUUAUGAGAAAUGGAUUUUACGUCUAGGGUUUUAUUUUAAGAUAUAAAAUUAUUUAAAGACAUAAAGACAUAAAAUAUUCACGUGUAAUUAACGUCAUCCAAAACUGGAAAUCUUAAUUGACAUUUCCAAAUAAGUUAAUGCAGAUAAGUAAUUCCUCAACAAAACGACAUCUUGGCAUUUAUUGAGAAAAUUUCAUUUAACAGUGUUCAAUAUUCCUUCAUGGUUCAUUUGUUUGUUCUUGUCAUUAGAGGGAAUUAUUUCUCCGAUAAGAUUUAAUGACUUGAUGGACGCAUGAAGGUAUACCGCUGAACUGUCGUUAAUAGCCACAUUAACAAAGUAAUGUUGUUCAAUACGUAAUGUCUGACAUUUUAUUUGAAAAGCGUUAUUACAAGUCAGUCCUAAUCUCGCAAUUUCUCGCGCGAUACACUCGGCCUCGGAUAACGAACGUACAAUAAGCCAUUACGCGCUGAUCAAUACGUUUCAUAAGCAAAACGCCCGCGUUUGCUAAUAUAUUUUUAGAGCAUUUUUUCCUUUCUCUUUCUCGCCUCACUCAAGGGUGGUAUCCGAAAAUAAAUUGUUAAAGAAUUCCUUUGUAGUAUUCUUAGUCUUAUUUGUACAUCUGCCGAGAGAAUGCCUGGAAUGCGAAUGAGGGUGCGAACGAGUUUGGCGGUUCCUUUCGAUAUAUCGACAAACUUGAAGCAUGAUAUCUGACAACACAUCUUUUAAAAACAAACUAACGCGUUUUUCCAUUGCACAAUUAUUCAGAUAAAUUUUCUAAACCAUGAAAUUAUGAACAUUGCACAUCUCUUACUAUAUCAUUUCAAUGAAAUAAAAUAGAAAUAGAUAUAAAUACAAACAUUUCUCGCGUAUUUAUGAAAAGUGUUCGUUGGAUGUUCAAGAAAAUAAGAAAAAGUUUCGAUAUUACAGAUCCGUCGUUAUGACAUUUCAAAUCGCAUUUCUCGACUGGGAAAUAUCGGAUUUGCUUCACGGAAGCUGCAGCUUCUAAAGUCGUCAGACAAUGGCGAGAGAUGAAUUUCGCGAGCGGCGAUAUCCUCGAUUUAGAUCCGAUUUAGAUCCGACAUCGACGACGACGAGUCGGGCGGGCCAAGGCGACGGUGGACGGUCGUUGUCAACGCCUAAAUGAGUUUGCAUUUAAACUACCGCGUAGCCAAAGUGCAUCGUCGUUGAGACGAAUUCAUCUUGUCAAUUUGUCGCGACGCCUUCGCUCUAUAUAGCUCGACCCCUGCUCGACUUUUAAUAGAAUCCGCGACAAAUACCUAACAAUGCGAUCGAUACGACGGAUUACGCCGAAAUUGGCAUGCGUCCCACGCUCAUUUAUAUAAUAAAACUUAAAUUACGACAGCUUGUCACGCGAUAUGGCGGAGGGGUGUUAGUUUAUAUCACGUAUUUAACGUUAAUUUUAAUGUUGCAUUAAAAGUUUAAUGUUGCCUCGAAGAUUUUAUCGACGCUAAAGAGUUGGAUUUAGGAGAACGACCGCGGUUGUUGACAAUUUUCCAGCUGCAAGCAAUUAACACUCGAGAGACGUUAGUUCUCCGCGGAAGAUUUCAGUUCCGCAGAAGUUUCUCAGAUAUUCGAUCUUUGUAGAAGCAUUGUUGAAAAAAGGGCAAAAUUAUUAUUGGAAAUUCUAUUGUAAUUUUCAGUUAUAUUCCUAAUUCUUGAAAAUUAAUGCGUUGAAACGACUUUGUAUCGGGCACGAUACGAUUUCUUAUACAGAAAUACAUAGGCUAUACAGGCUGUAAUUAUAAUGACGAUUAACAGUGUGUGUCGUACCAGUCUGCUUUUACCUGCACAUAGAUAUAAAUGAACGUCCCGCUUUAAGCGUCAUGCUUCUGCAAUUAAACGCACGGGGGGGGGGGGGGAUCACGUAUUCAGUUUCGCCAUGUCGCAUGCUUCGCCGCAAUCAAAUCAAUGCCUUUUUGCAGAAUUUUCCAUUGCGCUCUCGCGAAACGAAAGCGUUUUCCACGUCACUGCUGGUGUAUCGAUUAUUGUCAUUUAGCGAGGCGGGCGAUAUUGAAAAAGGAAAAAAAGGAAACGCGUGCAGCGACAUAUUCCCAAUCGCAUGGUGUACGCAAUACACGGCCGUUUCCUCUUCCGCAUGCAUGUCGCCAAUAAAUUAACGUUAUUUAUGGGCAGCCGCAAUUCCGCGCGCGCGAAAACCACUUGGCAUACGGGUUACGUACGCACAAUAGAGAAUCCUGUUACGUAUACGGAGUUUUUUUUAUAAUUAUUGCAACUCUAGAUUAGAAAUUAGACAGGUAAAGAUAGGAAGAUUAACCCCAUCGUAUUGGCUGAUAAGAAAUCUGUCUGCAAAUUUACUGAUACUUUACUGACACGUUCCUGGAAACAGACAUAAUUUUUUCGAAAUGGAAGGCAUUGUAUUGACCGAAAAAUCCGUGCGGAAAAAAAUCGACUCGGACCUUCCGGUCAGUCCAAUAUUUUUGAUGUAUAAAUAUUGAGUUGUUCGGAACGUUCGCGCGGUUUUUAAAUAAAAUUCAAAGACAUUUUUUUAUAUAUUCCACUACCAUUUGCCAUCUUUGAGCAAGUUUCAUGAUUCUGGAUUACCAAAAGUCAUCAUUUUUCUGAGCAAUGAAUUGCACAAGGUAAUUUUUGCAGCCCUCUAAAGAUGUAAAGUUUUUACCAUUCAAGGAAUUUUCAAGGCUUCGAAAUAAGUGGUAAUCAGAGGGUGCUAGGUCGGGUGAAUACGGGUGCGGUAGAACAUCCCGUCCAAGCUGCAACAAUUUUUGCUGAGUCUGCAAAGAGACAUGAGGUCUGACAUUAUCCUGGUGAGAGAUGGUGACACCUUUCCGAUUGACCAAUUCGGGACACUUUUCGUUGAUCGCUGCCUUCAAACGGUCUAAUUGGGCACAGUAUUUGUCCGAAUUAAGCCUUCCAGUCAGCCCAAUAUUUUUGAUACAUUUUUGAUAUAUUUAAUAUAGUUUGAUUUUAAUGAUAGAUCUAGCUUAAUCUAAAACCAUUUGCCGAUACAAAAAUAUUACAUGGAUCCUUGUUUGAAUUUCUGUGUUACAAAUUCGCAGAUUUUUACGGGAAUCAGGAGGAACUGUAUCGUCGUAAUGCAUAGUAGUAAAUUGGGGCACAACCGCAGGUCUUUAUAGGAUUCCCCGAAUGUGCCGCGCGAGUGUUUGCCUCACUCACGAAAUGGAGUCCUAAGGUUUCGCAGGCUGUAAGCCUUUGAUAUUAAGGUUAAUCUACUUGAUCUAGUUUUCUCCCGGUUUUGUGCCAGGGUUUUCCGAUAGUGGCAUAUUAGCUGCAGUUAAUAUCCCACACACUGGAAAGUGCACUUUCUAUGUUUUUAAUCGCGGAAGCGUGAGCGCGAUCAAACGCUACUUUUCUUUUAACACUACUUUUCUUUUAAUCCGCGUAAUCCAAGAUGGCAAAUUAGAUUUUGAGCUAAUAAUUUAGAGUAUUAUUUCAAUCGAUAAUUUUAAUCCUCACAUUGUUAUUCUUCUCUCUUUGAAUUUAAUAAGCUUCUCGACAGACGCCAUUUUGAAAUCGAUUGUCUUCACAUUGGAAUGAAACUUUCACUCGCGACAGUCAUUGUUUUCUCUUUUUCUCCUUAAAGUCUUCUUUCUCAUCUUUUACAGUAAUUAUCUCGUAACGUACAGCACAUCGUUUCGUCGAACAAUUCUGCAACGAUUCCCAACGUAAUCAAGUCUUCCUUCAUCGAAACAAUUUUAUGGACAUUAAAAGAAGACAAGGGAACAUAAUAAUGCAAGGCCUGACAGAAAAACAAGCAGGAUGCGGGAUCACAUUUCCUAUUAAAGUUCCUCUAUUUCGAGGACCCGCAUUAUCAUCUCGAUAGUAUACGACACCCAUGUGAUUUAUCGGGGAACAAUGCGUUUCCCUUUGAAAGAAAUGUAUCAUAAACUUACACGAUUAUGAUACUCAUCAUUUCCGUGUACUAAUCUUUUGAUUUACGACUUUGUAAAAUUUACUUCUCCUAAUCGACGUCUCUGACUUGCAUUAAUUUAUGUUUGAAAUUUAUAAUUUAUAUUUAUUUAGAUUUAUAUCUAGAUAUUUAUAUUUAUUAAAAUUUAUAUUUUCUUGAUUUUGCAUUUUAAAAAAUGCAUUUUAUAUGUAAAUGAUUAGAAUGUUGAAAUGCAACGUUUAUUUACAUUCGCAUGUUGCACGCGUGGUCAGUAAACCAUACAAAAUAUGUACAAAUCGUAGUGCACAUUUUAUAUUUAAUGUCGUAACGUAAACCAUACAAAAUACGUACAAAUCGUGGUGCACAUUUUAUAUUUGAUGUCGCAAGGUCCUUUGAGAAUUUAAUUAAGGGCAGCCUUGGACUUGGAACUAUUUUUGUCUCGCUGUUAUUCCGUUAUUUCUUUCUCGAUAUUUAAUGCUAACAUACUUACAAAUGUCAUGAAUGUGUCCUACAGAUCAUGUCAUUAUCAUUUUCAUAUGUAUAAAUUUAAUUGUGUUUAGUUUGAUGCAUUGAAUUUCAAAUUCAGAUUAACAACAAGAAGGAUAUGUCACCUGCAUUAGAGUAAAAAUUAAAGCAUUGGAAACAUCCCUUUAAUUUAAUUCCAGUUUCAAUUAUGAUUGAAGAGAGUAGAUUACAUAUCUGCCAGGUGUGUAUACAUCUGAUAAAGAAUUAAAUUUUUUAUGUUUGCCCCAACCUUGUGCUAAUAUAUAGCAGAAUUAAGAUCUGCGAGAAGGGUGUGUCACGUUUGUGAUUUAUCCGUAGGGCGUCGGAGUAACAUCCGGGAGAGACCAAUUUUAAACAGAAACGUUUCACCAUAAUAUCCUCCGGUUUAUCGCGUGGCUUCGUGGGCCCCGUAGCCUAAUAAUCGCCCUGCAAAGAGAACUUGUUCUCCCAUCUUGCUAUUAAUACCGUUUCGUGCUGCAGCCGGUGCUGUUCGCGUUCACGUUGAUCUUUACGAGGCGGUUCGCGUUCGCGUUCGAUUUUACGACGAGGAGAGACCAGCUCGAGGAAGGAACAAACCGGCUAAUGCCGGCUAAAUAUAUAUCGUCGUGAAGAUUUCAGGGCGACCUUUAUACGUGAGCGAGCGACCGUUCGUAUCAGUGUAAAGGCACAUUUUGGAUUACCAUCUAAUAAUAAAAAAUGAAUUGUUAUUAUUAAUUAUUAAGAGCUGCGAAGAAAAGCUUCCAUUGUUCUAAAAUGCGCUUUGAUUCAAAUGUUGAUAUCUUAUUAAGAGUAAGAAAUAUGAGAGAGAAAUCAAAUUAUUAAUUAAAUUAUUACUUUUUAAAAUACAAUCAUGAUUCAAUGACGUCAAUUGUUUUGACUGGGAACUAUUUGAAAUGCUUUGUCUUUUGCUUCUUACGCUCGCAACAUUUACAUACGUAUAUGUUAUGUAUACACUAUAGAAUACGCAAUUAAUGUCAUAACGAAAUUACAAUGCAACUUACAAUGCUAACGAAUCACAUACGAACAAUUUAUUGCGACGUGUGAUUGUUGAUUUUUUACAAUCAUUCGAUAUCGAUUCGAAAAUUAUUGUUCUGCGUGCCGCCAUCAGACACGCAUUCCCCGAUAACAAUGUUUUGAAGGCAAAAGAUUGAAACGAAUAAUUUACACGCUUUAUUUGUCGGGUACCAAAGGGGCAACGAGAGGAAGAAGAAAAGAGAGAACUACAGUGCAACGAACCAUCGUUCUUGUUACUGUUCGGCCUUGUGCGUCGCACUUAUCGUAUGUAGUAUCAAGAGACAUUAAUAAGCGUUUGGCUGAUAAACGAGCGAAUCGCAAUUGUGUGCUCCAUUGGAGCAACAGUGCAUUUUGUAAUAGAUCUUAAUUGCAUCAAAUGGAACGUUGUUUCAAAAUGUAAUUUAAAAGAACUAUAAAUGUUUGACAAAUUAUAAGUAUUUCAAGUAGACUCAAAAGGAAUUUCUUUAGAAAAAUGAAAAAAUAUACAAUAAACAUAUAUAUAUACAUAUAUAUAUAUAUAUACAUAUACAAUAAAUAUACAAAUAUAGACAUUACAAUAUUAAAAACAGAUACAAAAAUAUGAAAAGCGUCUUAAUAAAAGCAGAGAUUAACAAUUAACAUUAAUAUCAAAUUAUCUAAGUGUUAUAUAUGAAAAAUUGCAAGUAUGAGAUGACACUACUAUUAUUCAGUUAAAUCUGUGAGAAACGCAAUUUUAUUAUUCAGCACUUUCGAGCUCCUUUAAUUUAUUUUAAUUAAACCUACCUGUUUUAUGUUUUAUGUAAUUCUGAAUAUUUAAUAUCGAAGCCUUAAUAUAUCGCUGUGAUAAAUGACAGACUUACGUAAUAUACGUUACAGUCUUUCACAUUUGUAUCCGCAAAUUUAAAAUUGGCCUAUUAAAGUGUUAUUUUUAAAAGAUCCUUAAAUAGUGAUUCCAGAAGAAAAAAAUGAUUUGGAUGUGUUAUGAUAUACGUUAUCAUUAUCAGUUUAAUUCACAUCAAUUGUGCAAAGUGCACAGCGAUACGAAGUUUGAAAAAUGAUACGAAGCCAGUUAGACACGACAAAUCCAAGAUUGAUGUCGCGUGAGGCUUCUUGCGCCGGUGUUAUCUGCCGGAUUAAUUAGACGCCCUCCUAAUUCCUAUCCGUCAGUUUUAAUUUUGCUUGCGUUAGCAAUAUUGUUUAUUCUCGUUUAGUCUGCUACCUUAUUAUAUCACGCUUCACGGAUUACAACAUUGAGUGUAUAAUCGUUCCACUAAUCGUUAUAAUCCAUUCGAUUGCAAUAAUUCUCUCAUUUUUUUAUGCAAAUAUAAUAUUUCACAUUAAGAUACUGAUUCAUUUGUGUGAGACAUAAUUAUCUAAUAAAAGUUCAAUGUUCGUCAAAUGAUUGGAAUCUAUGCAGGUGGAUAGUGCACUGUGAGAUUAACAUCAUUCAGCACGCGCGCGCCAGUUAUUCAAUAAAACAAUUUUUCUCGAUAAUACGCGCGUAUUUAAAAAUUCCCGGGAUAUUGAACGGUCAAUUGAAUUUUAUCGAUUACGGAGAGUUUUUAUUGCGAUGCGCGUCGAACUUUGAGUUUGCGAGUUUUUUGCCGGCGAGGCGGAAGAUUAUAUCAGCCUCCGCGCGCGCGUAUGAGCUGCAACACGCCGGUGGCGGCGGUUUCAUCAUCGUCGUCUCCUUUGUCACAGAUAACCCGUAGCGGAGAUAAGACAAAGUAGAUACGGCUGCUGCACGAUAAUUUUUCCCUACGUUGUAUUUAUUAUUACGUCAACGAGCGCGACACGCCGACUCUGCGACGCCACUCGUUCUCAAAAAGAGAGUAUCGCUUCGAGUUGGUGCAUCUUAAUCGCGAGUGACGAUGAAUACGGAGAACGUCGUGCGAUCUAGUGCCAAUAGGAAAUUCAAUAUUUAAAACAGCUCGUUCUCUGAGAACACUGAAUCAGCUAAAUUUCAUUUGACUUUGUGAGAAUGGCCCUCGUAAUUUGCGCUUGAUGUCUCUCUUGAUGGCAACGAAUGUCUCGGAUAUUACGAGCAAAGAUGAAAGCAUAUGCGGCAAGGAAAGUUAUUAAAAUGAUAUAUAAGCUACAUAACUUCUAAGUAAAUUCUAAGCACUAAAUUGCGUUCAUUAUAAUAUUAUUGGGCGUUCAUUAUAAUAAUGAUAAUAUUAUUAUUAAGUAAUAAUAUUAUAAAAUAAUAUUAUUAUUAUUAUUAAAUACAUAUUUGAUAAAUUUUUUAAACAAUGUAUAUAUUUAGAUGUUCAGUAUAAUCCAUUUAUCCUGUAGUAGUUUUAAUUAUGAAGUUUAUUUUCCUUCGUCGAAGUAAUUAGUCUUUAUGUAACUAUAAUUGUAUAUGUAAUUACGAAUUAUAUAAUUACGGAACGAAAGUAUUGAUUCCUAAAAUAAAACGCGUAUCUAAUCGCGACCCGCUUAUACUUCUGUGUGUUUGUGCAAAUAAUAUGCGCACAGGCUGUAUCAUUUAAAGUGGGACGCCUAAGUAUAACUGUUGUUUCCAAACUUGCAAAACAUGCCUUACGUUCGGGUCAAGCUGCAUAUCGCAAUCUUCCGAGCGUUUCUCCAAUUCCGCUUACGCAAUGCGUUGUUUCACAAAUUUGAUGUAAGAAAAGUUAGAUAUCGUUGCGAGCUCUCAUUUAGAAUUUUCCGCCCGUUUCAAUUUAUUUAGACUAUUUAAGCUUAACUGGGAAUUUCCUUUGAGUGCGAUAAGUCUCGCAGAAAUCUCUUAUCCUUGAGCAAAUUCGAAAGAUAUCGGUUUUAAUCUGUGCCCGUCGUAAACAGCAACUGUGAGAACAAUACUGAUUAUUAUUCAAUCCUGUUUUUUAGAUGACUUCUAGAUAAAGCCGUCAUUGCUAUAUCAAAGCUGUAGUUAGCGCAAAUCGAAGAAAAUUCUCGAGGAAAAUCGUUUUAUGCAAUAUGCUAUUGUCGCGAGCGAGUGAAAUGAAGUUUACGUGCAGUCGCGCGUAAAUACGGGAGAAACAAAGUGCCAUAAUCCAGUAAACUACCGUGUUUAUUGCUUCUUAAGUCGCUUUCCAAGUUGAGUCUAGCGUAUAGAAAAUUCUCACAUAACGCCUGUAUAUUGAUUUGAGAAAUGCGCGGCGUUUACACGUGCCAUAAGACGUUUCCACGAGGAAGUAAAAGAAAAAAGUUUUGCUCGAUUGCAAGGCUUGCAAUAAUUUAGUAAUCGGAUCUUAGAUGUGCGCAUCAGGCUUGUACACAGCGAUCGACUUGACAAACGAAACUUUAUACCGCCGUCGCAGUAAAAUAUUGUAUUCCUCACGCGCGAAUAUUAUUUGCUAAAUAUUAUUAAUGUACUACUAAAAAGCUUUAUCUUUUACUGUACUUGACUUACGUAGAAUCUGUAAAUUAUAAUAAUAUCCUAUCAAGAAAUAAGAGCAAGUUCAAUCAGAAUUUAAUUAAAAUAAUUGAACUUAAAUCAAACAAUUGUUUUAGCAAUAAUUUUCGCUGGUUACAAUAUCGCAUAAGGAAUACAAAAGGGAAAUUGGAGAGAGAAACCACUUUUCCUCUUAAUCUCUUGAUAACAUCCGCCAUUUUCAGAAUUAUGUAAAACUCAAUAUCAAUUAUUUUCUAUCAGUGACCAUCUGUCAUUUGUGCAUACAGCAAUCAGGAAAAUACUGAUAGCUUCCUUUGAUAUCGACAGGAGGGGGACGGCACUCCCCCAUUUCUCGAUUACCUGCCAUUGCCUCCCACGGAGCUGCGCUUGACGUACAAAGAUCGUGCGCACAUACAGGUGUUUAAGUAACUGCGCGUACGUGAAAAUGCAGUAAAAGCGUGAGAUGCGCUGCUCGGGAGUUAGGGCGAAGGCGAUAUAGAGAGGCGGCAGAAAGCGACGUGUAUCGAGCGGCGGCGGCGCGACGACGACGACGACGGCGGCGGCGGCGGCGGCGGCGACGACGUGGAGAGAGAAACGCGGCCGCUGAUCGGAGGCGGCGGCGAAGCGCCUCUGCCAGUGUCGGACAGAGACACGGUUUGCUCGCGUCGUCGUCCUGUCUCUCAUGUGUCUUACCGCGUUGCCGUCACACCGUUUUUCUCCGUCUUUUCCUCUCUGUCAUCCCGCGAAUGUAGAAAAGACUGUUGGGAUGUGCGUCCGCACGACCUGAGUGCCAUCAGAUUCUUGUCGCUGCGAGAACCAACAAGGGAGCGUUAACCCCCGGUAACCCCGUCGCGAGGAUCUCGCGAGUUCGCGUGCAAUUGAUCGAUCACCGAUUUCGGCCAGGUUCCAACGGACCUGGAUAUUGCAUGGACGGACACGUUACUCGGAUGAAGUGAGAUGUAGGGUGAAGAAGAAGGGUGAUAUUGAAGAUGGAAGAAGUUGAAGUGAUCAUGAAGGGGAAUUACCCAGGUAAUUGAUGUGGACCGGUCGCGCUUUCUUUUAAUUGGACUUAACUGCGUUUCGCAAAUGGAUCUCGUGGGCAGAGCGCAAGGUGGAUGAGUUGGACGAUUUUAUGGAAAUGGAACUAUUCGAGUAUUCUUAGAGAUUGUCGGAAGACAACCUUGUUGCUGCCACGCAUCAGGUAUCAUUUGGCAAAUUUGUUUCUCACGUUAAUUGUUGAUUUAUGAGCGAAGUGCGAUACAGAGCACGAUAGAAUAAUGAUAAAUUAAUGGAUAGAGGUGUAUAUGCUUUGGCAGUGAUGAGGAGGGAUUUAAUUAUUUUUACACAUCACUAUCAAGUCACAUCUUGCUAGAUUUAUGAGAAAGUUUUGGUUUCGCCGCACACAUGUGAGAAAGAAAAUACCUCGAUAGUAGGACACAACAGACCGUAGAAUGCGGCAGCAUGAGGCACUAUCGACAAACGAAUAUGGAAAUUGAAAUAUUAGAUAUUUGUUAUUAUUCAUGAAAUGUCGAAGAUUUUCUCUACUGAUUCCUGAAAAUUGUAUGCUGAACAUUACUUAUUUUAUAGUAAAAGAUUGCUCCUUUUAACUUCGUCAGCGCAUUCCGAAAAAAAGAAUUAUUGAUUGCUUAACAUUUUAUCAAGAAACUUUCCAUUAUCGAUUACAAAAUAGAGAAAAAUUUGGGAUUAACGAGAACAUCGAUAACAUUUCUACCAUCGAUUAUCAUAGAUGUCUACAAAAUAUCUAUGCAUAUAUUGAUAUCAAAGAGUAAUACUGAUCA